CUCUAUCCACGAAAGUUGUACUUUUCUUAGUACGAAAGGACCAGAAAAGUAGUGCCAUUUUUAAAAAAAAGCACUAAAAAAAC
RNAcentral lists this ribosomal RNA (83 nucleotides) under Asterias amurensis (Northern Pacific seastar). RNAcentral describes it as "partial 16S ribosomal RNA". The record is from RNAcentral. Lineage: Eukaryota; Metazoa; Echinodermata; Asteroidea; Forcipulatida; Asteriidae.